GAGGGUAUAGCUUAGUGGUAGAGUGUGUGCUUAGCAUGCAUGAGGUCCUGGGUGCAACCCCAGUAUCUCCA
This 71-nucleotide transfer RNA is filed under the name Camelus bactrianus (Bactrian camel). It matches the Rfam family "tRNA". From Rfam's summary of the family: Transfer RNA (tRNA) molecules are approximately 80 nucleotides in length. Their secondary structure includes four short double-helical elements and three loops (D, anti-codon, and T loops). Further hydrogen bonds mediate the characteristic L-shaped molecular structure. tRNAs have two regions of fundamental functional importance: the anti-codon, which is responsible for specific mRNA codon recognition, and the 3' end, to which the tRNAs corresponding amino acid is attached (by aminoacyl-tRNA synthetases). tRNAs cope with the degeneracy of the genetic code in two manners: having more than one tRNA (with a specific anti-codon) for a particular amino acid; and 'wobble' base-pairing, i.e. permitting non-standard base-pairing at the 3rd anti-codon position. RNAcentral also lists the same sequence under 2 other names. The record is from Rfam by way of RNAcentral. Lineage: Eukaryota; Metazoa; Chordata; Mammalia; Artiodactyla; Camelidae.